CCUACGGGGGGCUGCAGUGAGGAAUAUUGGUCAAUGGGCGCGAGCCUGAACCAGCCAAGUCGCGUGAGGGAGGACGGCCCUACGGGUUGUAAACCUCUUUUGCCGGGGAGCAACGGGCCUCACGUGUGGCGCCACUGAGAGUACCCGGAGAAAAAGCAUCGGCUAACUCCGUGCCAGCAGCCGCGGUAAUACGGGGGAUGGGAGCGUUAUCCGGAUUUAUUGGGUUGAAAGGGUGCGUAGGCGGAUCGUUAAGUCAGUGGUCAAAUUGAGGGGCUCAACCCCUUCCCGCCAUUGAAACUGGCGUUCUUGAGUGGAAGAGAAGUAUGCGGAAUGCGUGGUGUAGCGGUGAAAUGCAUAGAUAUCACGCAGAACCCCGAUUGCGAAGGCAGCAUGCCGGCUUCCGACUGACGCUGAAGCACGAAAGCGUGGGGAUCGAACAGGAUUAGAUACCCUAGUAGUC
Molecule: ribosomal RNA, 460 nt
Filed under: uncultured bacterium
Lineage: Bacteria
Description: partial 16S ribosomal RNA
Rfam family: Bacterial small subunit ribosomal RNA
Source: RNAcentral